AUGGGCUUAGACUCUAUUUUCUUUAAAUUUUUAUUAUUUUUUGUUUUUUAUAUUGUUAGAGCUUGUAAAUGUUACUUGGAUCUAUAAUUUAUUAUUUUUUUGUUUUUUAUAUUAUUAGGUAAACCUUCAUGUAAAAUGUGCUAAGUUCUCAGCUCAUCUCAUAGCUGGAUAUAUAUGCAUUUAAUCUCACCUGCAUGUAACUGCAUAAUAUUCAUGCUCGUUGUGUAUGUAAUAAGGUUCAGUAUUGUAGAGGGAGAGAGAGAGUCUACAAUUGAGAGUUAGGCGUAGCCAUG
Molecule: long non-coding RNA, 293 nt
Filed under: Salvia miltiorrhiza (redroot sage)
Lineage: Eukaryota; Viridiplantae; Streptophyta; Magnoliopsida; Lamiales; Lamiaceae
Description: long non-coding RNA (SMIL_LNC014250)
Source: RNAcentral